Molecule: transfer RNA, 84 nt
Filed under: Gemmatimonadota bacterium
Lineage: Bacteria; Pseudomonadati; Gemmatimonadota
Description: Gemmatimonadetes bacterium tRNA-Leu
Rfam family: tRNA
About the family: Transfer RNA (tRNA) molecules are approximately 80 nucleotides in length. Their secondary structure includes four short double-helical elements and three loops (D, anti-codon, and T loops).
Source: RNAcentral
GCCGGGGUGGUGAAACGGGUAUACACAGGGGACUUAAAAUCCCCCGGGAGCAGUCCCAUGCGGGUUCGAGUCCCGCCCCCGGCA